This is a long non-coding RNA of Arabidopsis thaliana (thale cress), 239 nucleotides long. RefSeq annotates it as other RNA. NCBI's taxonomy places the organism in Eukaryota, Viridiplantae, Streptophyta, Magnoliopsida, Brassicales, Brassicaceae. The record is from RefSeq. The transcript has a single exon.
AGUGAAACCAUGAUUCUCCUCCCAACUUUUUCUUCCAUUACAAAGAACAAAACUUUAUUUCACUUUUUUUGGCCCUUCCCUUUCGACUGUUAUAUAUGAUACAAUCAUCCUAUAAUGAUAAUGAUUAAGAUGAUGAAUUGCAUAAAUGAUUCUAAAAAUCAUGAGUCAUGACAAUGGUGAUGCACAAACAACUCGAUGCUGAGAAGCAAUAAGAGUAUAGGGACCUCAAUUCAUUUCAG